RNAcentral lists this ribosomal RNA (253 nucleotides) under uncultured bacterium. RNAcentral describes it as "partial 16S ribosomal RNA". It matches the Rfam family "Bacterial small subunit ribosomal RNA", at positions 524 to 776 of the family's 1533-position model. The record is from RNAcentral.
UACGUAGGGUGCGAGCGUUAAUCGGAAUUACUGGGCGUAAAGCGUGCGCAGGCGGUCAUGCGAGACAGAUGUGAAAUCCCUGGGCUCAACCUGGGAACUGCAUAUGUGACUGUAUGGCUGGAGUACGGCAGAGGGGGAUGGAAUUCCGCGUGUAGCAGUGAAAUGCGUAGAUAUGCGGAUGAACACCGAUGGCGAAGGCAAUCCCCUGGGCCUGUACUGACGCUCAAGCACGAAAGCGUGGGGAGCAAACAGG